RNAcentral lists this ribosomal RNA (662 nucleotides) under uncultured bacterium. Its description in RNAcentral is "bacterial SSU rRNA". It matches the Rfam family "Bacterial small subunit ribosomal RNA", at positions 124 to 774 of the family's 1533-position model. The record is from RNAcentral.
ACCUGCCUACUAGCGGGGGAUAACUAUUGGAAACGAUAGCUAAUACCGCAUAACAGCAUUUAACCCAUGUUAGAUGCUUGAAAGGAGCAAUUGCUUCACUAGUAGAUGGACCUGCGUUGUAUUAGCUAGUUGGUGAGGUAACGGCUCACCAAGGCGACGAUACAUAGCCGACCUGAGAGGGUGAUCGGCCACACUGGGACUGAGACACGGCCCAGACUCCUACGGGAGGCAGCAGUAGGGAAUCUUCGGCAAUGGGGGCAACCCUGACCGAGCAACGCCGCGUGAGUGAAGAAGGUUUUCGGAUCGUAAAGCUCUGUUGUAAGAGAAGAACGUGUGUGAGAGUGGAAAGUUCACACAGUGACGGUAACUUACCAGAAAGGGACGGCUAACUACGUGCCAGCAGCCGCGGUAAUACGUAGGUCCCGAGCGUUGUCCGGAUUUAUUGGGCGUAAAGCGAGCGCAGGCGGUUUAAUAAGUCUGAAGUUAAAGGCAGUGGCUUAACCAUUGUUCGCUUUGGAAACUGUUAGACUUGAGUGCAGAAGGGGAGAGUGGAAUUCCAUGUGUAGCGGUGAAAUGCGUAGAUAUAUGGAGGAACACCGGUGGCGAAAGCGGCUCUCUGGUCUGUAACUGACGCUGAGGCUCGAAAGCGUGGGGAGCAAACU